RNAcentral lists this ribosomal RNA (453 nucleotides) under uncultured Prevotella sp. Its description in RNAcentral is "partial 16S ribosomal RNA". It matches the Rfam family "Bacterial small subunit ribosomal RNA", at positions 342 to 792 of the family's 1533-position model. Lineage: Bacteria; Pseudomonadati; Bacteroidota; Bacteroidia; Bacteroidales; Prevotellaceae. The record is from RNAcentral.
CGGAAGGCAGCAGUGAGGAAUAUUGGUCAAUGGACGAGAGUCUGAACCUGCCAAGUAGCGUGCAGGAGGACGGCCCUAUGGGUUGUAAACUGCUUUUGUACGGGAAUAAAGUGACCUACGUGUAGGUUUUUGCAUGUACCGUAAGAAUAAGGACCGGCUAAUUCCGUGCCAGCAGCCGCGGUAAUACGGAAGGUCCGGGCGUUAUCCGGAUUUAUUGGGUUUAAAGGGAGCGUAGGCCGUGCUUUAAGCGUGUUGUGAAAUGUAGGCGCCCAACGUCUGCACUGCAGCGCGAACUGGAGCACUUGAGUACGCAGGAAGUAGGCGGAAUUCGUCGUGUAGCGGUGAAAUGCUUAGAUAUGACGAAGAACUCCGAUUGGGAAGCCAGCUUACUGUAGCGCCACUGACGCUGAUGCUCGAAAGCGUGGGUAUCGAACAGGAUUAGAUACCCUGGUA